Molecule: long non-coding RNA, 412 nt
Filed under: Chinchilla lanigera (long-tailed chinchilla)
Lineage: Eukaryota; Metazoa; Chordata; Mammalia; Rodentia; Chinchillidae
Description: lncRNA (ENSCLAG00000024999.1)
Source: RNAcentral
CAACAACCACUAGACCUGUGAGAAAGCCCUGCAGAGAUUAAAGGAGCUGAUUCUAUAUGCACAUAUUGGAGGAAGAAGAACAGAUUUAUCUAUUCUGACUUGCACCUGCUGACUAGUGAGACAAAGGGCCAAGAAGCAGCCACACAAACCCCACAGGUAACUCCAGCGCCAGUCUCCAGCAGAGGAGGAGAGACUGCAGAGAGUGAUACUUCUAAUUACUUCCAGAAUGUUGAAAGUCAAGUAUGUGUAAUCAGAAGCAAGAUGAAAUGGUAUUGAAUGAAAAAUUCUGAUGCAGUCAGGAAAUGUGUAAGUUUUGGAUUGAGCUCUCUUUGCAGUUGAGAUCCGACUCAAACCCUCACAGCCUAUGUGGUCUUGGACAUACUAUUUAACCUCUGUAAAGCUUGUUUUCCUU